RNAcentral lists this ribosomal RNA (860 nucleotides) under uncultured archaeon. RNAcentral describes it as "SSU rRNA". It matches the Rfam family "Archaeal small subunit ribosomal RNA", at positions 474 to 1337 of the family's 1478-position model. The record is from RNAcentral.
UACCAGCUCGCCGAGUGGUAGGGAUGAUUAUUGGGCCUAAAGCGUCCGUAGCCGGCCUUUCAAGUCUCUUGUUAAAUCCAACGAUUCAAUCGCUGGACUGCAGGAGAUACUGUUAGGCUAGGGGGCGGGAGAAGCCGACGGUAUUUUCGGGGUAGGGGUAAAAUCCUAUAAUCCCGGGAAGACCACCAGUGGCGUAGGCGGUCGGCUAGCACGCGCUCGACGGUGAGGGACGAAAGCUGGGGGAGCGAACCGGAUUAGAUACCCGGGUAGUCUCAGCUGUAAACGAUGCUGGCUAGGUGUUGAAGCGGCUACGAGCCGCUUCAGUGCCGCAGGGAAGCCAUUAAGCCAGCCGCCUGGGGAGUACGGCCGCAAGGCUGAAACUUAAAGGAAUUGGCGGGGGAGCACCACAAGGGGUGAAGCUUGCGGUUUAAUUGGAGUCAACGCCGGGAACCUUACCGGGCGCGACAGCAGGAUGAAAGCCAGAUUGAAGGUCUUGCUGGACGAGCUGAGAGGAGGUGCAUGGCCGUCGCCAGUUCGUGCCGUGAGGUGUCCUGUUAAGUCAGGCAACGAUCGAGACCCACACCCUCUGUUGCUACUGAGGAGUUUUCCAAGGGGCACUCUGAGGGGACUGCCGCCGAUAAGGUGGAGGAAGGAGUGGGCCACGGCAGGUCAGUAUGCCCCGAAUCGCCCGGGCCACACGCGAGCUGCAAUGGCUGGGACAAUGGGUUCCGACCCUGAAAAGGGGAGGUAAUCCCGAAACCCGGCCUCAGUUGGGAUCGAGGGCUGUAACCCGUCCUCGUGAACAUGGAAUCCCUAGUAAUCGCGCGUCAUCAGCGCGCGGUGAAUACGUCCCUGCUCCU